UCGGAGUGGAUAUGGUAUUCGCCCUCGUCGGACUGAUUCUGUUGAACUUGUGGAAGCGGAUGGCGCUGGUCGCUUGGGUCGUCGUUGGCC
RNAcentral lists this non-coding RNA (90 nucleotides) under Gymnodinium catenatum. The record is from RNAcentral. Lineage: Eukaryota; Dinophyceae; Gymnodiniales; Gymnodiniaceae.